RNAcentral lists this unclassified non-coding RNA (255 nucleotides) under Hevea brasiliensis (rubber tree). Lineage: Eukaryota; Viridiplantae; Streptophyta; Magnoliopsida; Malpighiales; Euphorbiaceae. The record is from RNAcentral.
GUUUGGGAAUAUUUGGUUCAAGUUUUGUGUUGGAAGUGUGGGUGAUUGAGAGCCUGUGUCUUGAUUUAUCAUGGCAAUCACUAUCCAGGGUGGUGGGUGGUUGAGAGCCUGUGUCUUGAUUUGUUAUGGAAAUCACUAUGCUAUAUGGAACUGUGUUAAAUGAGGAUUGCUGUUACUUGUCUUUGUAAUUUUGUCUUGGUUGUCUUUGUAAUUUUGUCUUGGCUAAUAGCAUUUUAACUCACUUUUGGGUUUCAA